CAGUCGAACGAUGAUGCCCAGCUUGCUGGGCGGAUUAGUGGCGAACGGGUGAGUAACACGUGAGUAACCUGCCCUUGACUUCGGGAUAACUCCGGGAAACCGGGGCUAAUACCGGAUAUGAGCCGCCUUCGCAUGGGGGUGGUUGGAAAGUUUUUCGGUCAGGGAUGGGCUCGCGGCCUAUCAGCUUGUUGGUGGGGUGAUGGCCUACCAAGGCGACGACGGGUAGCCGGCCUGAGAGGGCGACCGGCCACACUGGGACUGAGACACGGCCCAGACUCCUACGGGAGGCAGCAGUGGGGAAUAUUGCACAAUGGGCGAAAGCCUGAUGCAGCGACGCCGCGUGAGGGAUGAAGGCCUUCGGGUUGUAAACCUCUUUCAGCAGGGAAGAAGCGCAAGUGACGGUACCUGCAGAAGAAGCGCCGGCUAACUACGUGCCAGCAGCCGCGGUAAUACGUAGGGCGCAAGCGUUGUCCGGAAUUAUUGGGCGUAAAGAGCUCGUAGGCGGUUUGUCGCGUCUGGUGUGAAAACUCGAGGCUCAACCUCGAGCUUGCAUCGGGUACGGGCAGACUAGAGUGCGGUAGGGGAGACUGGAAUUCCUGGUGUAGCGGUGGAAUGCGCAGAUAUCAGGAGGAACACCGAUGGCGAAGGCAGGUCUCUGGGCCGCAACUGACGCUGAGGAGCGAAAGCAUGGGGAGCGAACAGGAUUAGAUACCCUGGUAGUCCAUGCCGUAAACGUUGGGCACUAGGUGUGGGGCUCAUUCCACGAGUUCCGUGCCGCAGCAAACGCAUUAAGUGCCCCGCCUGGGGAGUACGGCCGCAAGGCUAAAACUCAAAGGAAUUGACGGGGGCCCGCACAAGCGGCGGAGCAUGCGGAUUAAUUCGAUGC
RNAcentral lists this ribosomal RNA (886 nucleotides) under uncultured bacterium. Its description in RNAcentral is "bacterial SSU rRNA". It matches the Rfam family "Bacterial small subunit ribosomal RNA", at positions 59 to 957 of the family's 1533-position model. The record is from RNAcentral.